CUUAAGUUCUGCUUGCACAUACAAAAAACUUUAAAUUUUCAAAUUUAAAACAAACUAUAAAGUGAAAAAAUGGCUUUCAAAAUGUCAGGAUAUUUGGUAUUGAUGGUCGUUGCAGCGAUAGCGCUAACUAACGCUUCUCUGUCGUAUAAAACAUCUCUGAGAAACACCAAUUCGGUCGCCGUUGGUGAAAUCGGUGAAGAAAGGUCAUUGACUUAUUUGAACGAAGCAGAAUUGAAUGGACGAUGCUGCACACUCAGCGGCUGUGAGGAUUUAUGUACCUGUACGGAACUGGUGUGUUAUGCCAAUAGCACACAUUGUUGGUGUUGGUGAACGAACGGUUAAAAGUUGG
Molecule: long non-coding RNA, 349 nt
Organism: Bradysia coprophila
Lineage: Eukaryota; Metazoa; Arthropoda; Insecta; Diptera; Sciaridae
Source: RefSeq, a predicted model, not a curated record